UCGAGGGGCAGCACGAGUACUUGUACUUGGUGGCGACCGGCGCACGGGUGCGUUACGCGUAUGCAACCUACCCAUUACAGGGAGAUAGCCCAGAGAAAUUUGGAUUAAGACCCCAUAGUACUAUAGAUCGGCAUCGUGAAAUAGUUAAAGAUUUAUCGGUAAUGGAUGGGCAUGCGUGUCAUUAGCUAGAUGGUAAGGUAACGGCUUACCAUGGCUACGAUGACUAGGGGGCCUAAGAGGGUGAUCCCCCACACUGGUACUGAGAUACGGACCAGACUCCUACGGGAGGCAGCAGUAGGGAAUAUUGGUCAAUGGAGGAGACUCUGAACCAGCCAUGCCGCGUGCAGGAAGACGGCCUUAUGGGUUGUAAACUGCUUUUGAUAGGGAAGAAAACGUCCAUGCGUGGAUAAUUGACGGUACCUAUAGAAUAAGCACCGGCUAACUCCGUGCCAGCAGCCGCGGUAAUACGGAGGGUGCAAGCGUUGUCCGGAUUUAUUGGGUUUAAAGGGUACGUAGGUGGCCUUAUAAGUCAGUGGUGAAAGUCUGCAGCUUAACUGUAGAAUUGCCAUUGAUACUGUAGGGCUUGAGUACUGUCGAGGCAGGCGGAAUUUAUGAUGUAGCGGUGAAAUGCAUAGAUAUCAUAAAGAACACCGAUAGCGAAGGCAGCUUGCUAGGCAGUAACUGACAC
RNAcentral lists this ribosomal RNA (688 nucleotides) under uncultured bacterium. RNAcentral's name for it is "bacterial SSU rRNA". It matches the Rfam family "Bacterial small subunit ribosomal RNA", at positions 62 to 746 of the family's 1533-position model. The record is from RNAcentral.